AAAAUAUAGAUGAAUUACCCUCAUAUAUCUCCGGGGAUAGGGCCCGGACGUUUCUACAAGGCAACCGUAAAUUGCCUAACUAUGAGUGGGAUUAUCACACCG
Non-coding RNA from Geosporobacter subterraneus DSM 17957, 102 nucleotides. The record is from Rfam. NCBI's taxonomy places the organism in Bacteria, Bacillati, Bacillota, Clostridia, Peptostreptococcales, Thermotaleaceae.